RNAcentral lists this ribosomal RNA (426 nucleotides) under uncultured Caldilinea sp. RNAcentral's name for it is "bacterial SSU rRNA". It matches the Rfam family "Bacterial small subunit ribosomal RNA", at positions 354 to 796 of the family's 1533-position model. Lineage: Bacteria; Bacillati; Chloroflexota; Caldilineae; Caldilineales; Caldilineaceae. The record is from RNAcentral.
GUGAGGAAUAUUGGGCAAUGGGCGAGAGCCUGACCCAGCAACGCCGCGUGGAGGAAGACGGCCUUCGGGUUGUAAACUCCUUUUGACAGGGAAGAGAGAGGACGGUACCUGUCGAAUAAGUCACGGCUAACUACGUGCCAGCAGCCGCGGUAAUACGUAGGUGACAAGCGUUAUCCGGAAUUACUGGGCGUAAAGCGCACGCAGGCGGCUGCUUAAGUCUGACGUGAAAUCUCCUGGCUUAACUGGGAGGGGUCGUUGGAAACUGGGUGGCUUGAGGUGGUGAGAGGGGUGCAGAAUUCCCGGUGUAGUGGUGGAAUGCGUAGAUAUCGGGAGGAAUACCAGUGGCGAAAGCGGCACCCUGGCACUGACCUGACGCUCAUGUGCGAAAGCGUGGGGAGCAAACGGGAUUAGAUACCCCUGUAGUCC